GUAUAAUUAUCGGGUUUUGGUGCCCGCGCCCAUGUCCAUGAGCGCAGUUAAACUGGGAAACACGGAGCCUGCAACAGGCCAACGUGUGCUGCCCCCGCAACGGUAAGCAAAUGUCGCCCACGUAGCGACGAGCCGCCUCGAACGACCACUGUGCAUUUGGCAUGGGAAGGUGAGACGGCCGCAUUUGCCAGCCCGGAUACCGGCCAAAACAGGUGGAAGCGU
Molecule: non-coding RNA, 222 nt
Filed under: Janthinobacterium sp.
Lineage: Bacteria; Pseudomonadati; Pseudomonadota; Betaproteobacteria; Burkholderiales; Oxalobacteraceae
Source: RNAcentral